AUGAUACCUAAAGCCUAAUGCUGGGGAGAAGAAGUGUAGAUGGUGCUUCAGUUCCCAGGCUUGGAGUCUGAGGUUGAGACCAUGAAGGAGAGAGAAGAUGAAGAAAGAAGACUGUGCCAUGGGACUUUGGCCGCAUGAACUUGUUAGAAGGCAGUUCCAGGGUCACCUUAAGCAUGUGGAGAUUCAGGACGGGAGGGACGUUCUCAGGACGGUCCUGCUUGGAGAUGAUGCCUGUGGACAGGGAUUAGGAAAAAAAGAUGACUCAGAUCUGACACUGUGACUGAGAGAUGAAAACAAAAGAUAUAUAAGGACACUGGAAGAAGGAAGAUUCUCUCUCACUCUUCCUUGCCUGCUUGCCUCGUGGAACUGAGCAACUGCUAGAUCCUUGGACUUCCAUCCACAGCUGCUUCUGACCAUUGUUGGGGAGUUGGACUAUAGACUAGGCAGUACCUUUUGAUGAUGCUCAUGUGAACUUCACUGAGGAAGAGAGUGGAAUUUGCUGGAUCUUUCCCAGAAGAAACUCUACAAAGGUGUGAUGUUGGAAACUUACUUGAACCUCAAAGCUGUAGGCUAUAAUUGGGAAGACCAUAAUCUUGAAGAACAUUGUCAAAGUAGAAGAAGACCUGAAAGGCAUGUAAGAAGUCAUAAUGGAGAGAAAAUCUAUGAGUGCAAUCAAUGUGGUAAAGCCUUUUCAAGACCCAGUCAACUCCAAAGACAGAGAGUCACAUAUUCUUGAAAGUGUUCUUCAGUUCAGGAAUUGCCUUUGGGAAAUAAUUGGUUCACUUAUGCAUAAGAGAAUA
Molecule: long non-coding RNA, 800 nt
Organism: Apodemus sylvaticus (European woodmouse)
Lineage: Eukaryota; Metazoa; Chordata; Mammalia; Rodentia; Muridae
Exons: 6
Source: RefSeq, a predicted model, not a curated record